Molecule: ribosomal RNA, 555 nt
Filed under: Escherichia coli LAU-EC10
Lineage: Bacteria; Pseudomonadati; Pseudomonadota; Gammaproteobacteria; Enterobacterales; Enterobacteriaceae
Description: bacterial LSU rRNA
Rfam family: Bacterial large subunit ribosomal RNA
Source: RNAcentral
CAACCCAGACCGCCAGCUAAGGUCCCAAAGUCAUGGUUAAGUGGGAAACGAUGUGGGAAGGCCCAGACAGCCAGGAUGUUGGCUUAGAAGCAGCCAUCAUUUAAAGAAAGCGUAAUAGCUCACUGGUCGAGUCGGCCUGCGCGGAAGAUGUAACGGGGCUAAACCAUGCACCGAAGCUGCGGCAGCGACACUAUGUGUUGUUGGGUAGGGGAGCGUUCUGUAAGCCUGUGAAGGUGGCCUGUGAGGGUUGCUGGAGGUAUCAGAAGUGCGAAUGCUGACAUAAGUAACGAUAAAGCGGGUGAAAAGCCCGCUCGCCGGAAGACCAAGGGUUUCUGUCCAACGUUAAUCGGGGCAGGGUGAGUCGACCCCUAAGGCGAGGCCGAAAGGCGUAGUCGAUGGGAAACAGGUUAAUAUUCCUGUACUUGGUGUUACUGCGAAGGGGGGACGGAGAAGGCUAUGUUGGCCGGGCGACGGUUGUCCCGGUUUAAGCGUGUAGGCUGGUUUUCCAGGCAAAUCCGGAAAAUCAAGGCUGAGGCGUGAUGACGAGGCACUACG